UGGCAUACAGAAGCUGUGUUCAGAGAUGGCCAAGGUUGUACCUUGUACUGGCAGCUGAAUUUGGUAGUGUAAGAGUCACCCAGGUGGUGCUGAUUUUGAAGGCACGGGACUGGGGGUCAUUGAGAGCAGCUGAGACUUGGCAUCAUGUGACAGAACUGUAGUCUCUGAAGAGAGUGCAGGAGAGGCUAUUGGUGAAAGUGUAGCCCAGGUGAAGCAGAUAGCCACAUUGCUUUGGAGAUGCCAGCACCAUGGGAUGGCCACUAAGAACAGCAGCAAUGGAGUUGAGGAGCCAGCUUGAGCCUAGAAGACAAGCUGUGUGUUCUGCAAAGGGCAGAACCAGAGAAGAGACCUAAGCCCUUUGGAGGAGCCCAGAAGAUAAUCUCAUGACUGCUGCUACUCCAGGCAUGACAUCAGCAUUCCAAAGGAAGAAAGAAGAACCGGCAAGAAGGCAUGAGUCCAUUUAUUACUUUUUAUAACUUUUCCUGUAAGAGUCACCCAGUGAUUCAUCUGUUGACUUCGUCUAUUGGCUACAACAUGCCACAUGACUUCUAGCCACAAACACAUCUGGGAAGACCCUCAAGUGUAGUUCCCUGCCAAACAAUAGGCUCUGAAGUUGGUGCCCAGCCACAGCCUCUGAGACAUGAGGAGUAACAACAUGCCACUAUGGAAACCAGUAUGGGAGUUCCUCAAAACACUAAAAGUAGAGCUGACAUAAGAUCCACCUAUACCCCUCUGGGGUGUGUAAUCAAAAGGUUCCAUACUCUCUGAGAGAGGAACCUACACACCCAUGUUCGCUGCAGCUCCAUCACAAUGGCUAUGAAAUGGAAUCAGCCUGAAUGUCUGUCAACAGAUGAGUGGAUAAUGAGAAUAUGGUACAUACACACAAUGGAAUUUCAGUCAGCUGUAAAAAGUGAAAUUAUGUAAUUUGAAGGAAAUGAUAGAUCUGGGAAAAAUUAUACUGAAUGAGGCAAGCCAGACCCAGAAAGACAAAUGUUGUAUAUUCUCUCUUAUAUCUGUGGAUCCCAGCUUCAAAUUUUUCGAGUUCUGUAUUUAAAUAAGAGUGUCUAUAUAUGUCAGGAGGUAAGAAGAGGAAUCCUGUGGGGGAGUACUAGAACAUGGGAUAUGACGAGGUAGGGCAUGAAGAGGUUUAAGUGGUAUUGGCAUGAGGAAGUAUGGAAGUAGGGACAGUUAACAAACAUUAACAAACAUUAAGGAUGCAUGAAAAAGCUGUAGAGAAGAAAACUACUUUAUAAACUAAAACAAUAUAACCUAAACCUUAAAUGAUAGUGAAAUAAUAAAAGAGCCUGGAAUGGAGAUACCUUUCAUGAGUUACUUUCAAAAAUUAUAGGCUUGUAACUAAAAUUCUACUAACAGGAAUGGGAUACCUCCCUAUGAAUUGUUGACUGAGAGGUGCUAGAGGUCCCCAAAAGAAUACUGGCCAUUUCUGUCACUCUUAGUUGUCCAAAGAGCUAACUGGUAAGACCCUGUUGCUGAAGACAUUGCACACGUUGGGUAUAGGACACAGUGAAAUCAAGUUGGAAGAGUUUGGGAAACGCUCCCUCUGCUGGUAGUGUUUGUAGUGGCACAAGGUAUGAUGUAGGCUGCUGAGGAGGAAAACUUAGCAGUCUCAUCUAGAUGUAGACCACGCUUGGAGGAGGAAAACUCAGCAGUCUCAUCUAGCUGUAGACCAUGCUUGGAGGAGGAAAACUCAGCAGUCUCAUCUAGCUGUAGACCAUGCUUGGAGGAGGAAAACUCAGCAGUCUCAUAUAGAUGUAGACUACGCUUGGAGGAGGAAAACUCAGCAGUCUCAUAUAGAUGUAGACCAUGCUUGGUACAAUACUGACCUGGCAAACAUAUGUGCCUGCUGGUGCAAUGGUGGCAUGACUGUGUUGGAGUAACCAACUGAUUUGUUAUUGGAUUGGAUGCUAACUCAUGGGAGGGAAUGCACAUCUCUUACUAUAAACUAGAUCAAAAUUCUAUGGUCAGGGUGGUUAUGGCUUCAAGGGGUGGUGGGGAUGAUUUACUACCAUUGUUUCUCUAAAUAGUCAUGUUAUAAAACUUCUAUUUAAAUGCUUAUACCCACAGACUAGUGACACUCUAUGCCUUGAGUGAUGGUUAAUACAGAUUUGUCAAAAUGAUGAGAA
Mesocricetus auratus (golden hamster) is the source of this 2144-nucleotide long non-coding RNA. RefSeq lists it as uncharacterized. The transcript has 3 exons. The record is from RefSeq and is a predicted model, not a curated record. NCBI's taxonomy places the organism in Eukaryota, Metazoa, Chordata, Mammalia, Rodentia, Cricetidae.